RNAcentral lists this ribosomal RNA (416 nucleotides) under uncultured bacterium. RNAcentral describes it as "bacterial SSU rRNA". It matches the Rfam family "Bacterial small subunit ribosomal RNA", at positions 92 to 507 of the family's 1533-position model. The record is from RNAcentral.
AGACCGGCAAACGGGUGCGGAACACGUACGCAAUCUGCCCUUAUCACGGGGAUAGCCCAGAGAAAUUUGGAUUAAUACCCGAUAGUAUUAUAAUAAGGCAUCUUGUUGUAAUUAAAGCUAUGGCGGAUAAGGAUGAGCGUGCGCAAGAUUAGCUAGUUGGUGAGGUAACGGCUCACCAAGGCGACGAUCUUUAGCUGAUGUGAGAGCAUGAUCAGCCACACGGGCACUGAGACACGGGCCCGACUCCUACGGGAGGCAGCAGUGAGGAAUAUUGGUCAAUGGACGGAAGUCUGAACCAGCCAUGCCGCGUGAAGGAUGAAGGCGUUCUGCGUUGUAAACUUCUUUAUUUAGGAAGAAACCACCGAUUUCUAUUGGUGUUGACGGUAUUAAAUGAAUAAGCACCGGCUAACUCCGUG